Molecule: unclassified non-coding RNA, 214 nt
Filed under: Hevea brasiliensis (rubber tree)
Lineage: Eukaryota; Viridiplantae; Streptophyta; Magnoliopsida; Malpighiales; Euphorbiaceae
Source: RNAcentral
AAAAUAUGUAAUUCCAGCAUGAAUCAAAGCAAGGCAAUACAACACUAAAGGAAAACCACAAGCUGCCAGAAUAAGCUAACAGGGAUGGAUUCCAAAUAUAACUGAAUUACCAUACCAAUGACGGUUCACCAUGAUGGUUAGAUGACAUCCCACCUCAGCUAGCAUUAAACUGUCUAAUCAUUAGCCUAAUUGGGUUGUUAUACAUGAAUACCAA